This 776-nucleotide ribosomal RNA is filed under the name uncultured Neocallimastigales. Its description in RNAcentral is "partial large subunit ribosomal RNA". It matches the Rfam family "Eukaryotic large subunit ribosomal RNA", at positions 24 to 641 of the family's 3401-position model. Lineage: Eukaryota; Fungi; Neocallimastigomycota; Neocallimastigomycetes; Neocallimastigales. The record is from RNAcentral.
UAUGUGAUCGUCUCUCGCAUAUCAAUAAGCGGAGGAAAAGAAACUAACAAGGAUUCCCCUAGUAACGGCGAGUGAAGCGGGAAGAGCUCAAAUUUGAAAUCUUAAAGGGUUUCCCUUUACGAAUUGUAGUUUAAAGAAGUGUUUUCUGUUGAGGUUUUGGUAAAAGUUCUUUGGAAUAGGACAUCAUAGAGGGUGAGAAUCCCGUAUUUGACCUUUACUUUCAACUUUGUGAUACACUUUCAAAGAGUCGGAUUGUUUGGGAAUGCAGUCCAAAAUGGGUGGUAAAUUUCAUCUAAAGCUAAAUAUUGGCGAGAGACCGAUAGCGAACAAGUACCGUGAGGGAAAGAUGAAAAGAACUUUGAAAAGAGAGUUAAACAGUACGUGAAAUUGUCAAAAGGGAAGCGUUUGACACCAGUGUUGUUUUUCUGAAAAUCAAUUAAAGAACUGUUUAUGCUAAGCUUGUUUAGACUUUAUCAGCUAUCUGCUUUAGUUUUGAGCUUUUCUUUAAUGCACUUCUCAGUUAACAAGUCAACAUCAAUUUCUUUUGCUGUAAAAAAGCUUGAGGAAGGUGGCUUGAGAUUCGUCUUAAGUGUUUAUAGCCUCUUGCCUAUGCAGUCGGAGAGAUUGAGGUCUGCAGCGUAGAUCCUUCGGGGCUAAAUGCAUUUGUGCUAAGUUAUAGCAUUUUAUAGACAACUUGUUGACUAUGAUUUGUCUUGUAGCUUACUCGCUUAUGUUAUUUUACCUACGCUUAGGAUGUUGAACGCGCACAGAGUCUC